CACGUAGGGGGCGAGCGUUGUCCGGAUUUAUUGGGCGUAAAGGGCUCGUAGGCGGCCAACUAAGUCGGACGUGAAAUCCCCAGGCUCAACCUGGGAACUGCGUCCGAUACUGGAUGGCUUGAAUUCGGGAGAGGGAUGCAGAAUUCCAGGUGUAGCGGUGAAAUGCGUAGAUAUCUGGAGGAAUACCGGUGGCGAAGGCGGCAUCCUGGACCGACAUUGACGCUGAUGAGCGAAAGCCAGGGGAGCAAACGGG
RNAcentral lists this ribosomal RNA (253 nucleotides) under uncultured bacterium. RNAcentral's name for it is "partial 16S ribosomal RNA". It matches the Rfam family "Bacterial small subunit ribosomal RNA", at positions 524 to 776 of the family's 1533-position model. The record is from RNAcentral.